Molecule: ribosomal RNA, 497 nt
Filed under: uncultured bacterium
Lineage: Bacteria
Description: partial 16S ribosomal RNA
Rfam family: Bacterial small subunit ribosomal RNA
Source: RNAcentral
GAUGAACGCUGGCGGCGUGCCUAAUACAUGCAAGUCGAGCGAACAGAUGCGGAGCUUGCUCCUCUGACGUUAGCGGCGGACGGGUGAGUAACACGUGGAUAACCUCCCUAUAAGACUGGGAUAACUUCGGGAAACCGGCGCUAAUACCGGAUAAUAUAUUGAACCGCGGGGUUCAAUAGUGAAAGACGGCGUUGCGGGCAGUACUAGAUGGAUCCGCGCCGCAUUGGGUAGUUGUGACGUUCACGGCUUACCAAGGCAACGAUGCGUAGCCGACGUCAGAGGCGGGUCGCCCACCUUGGAACUGGACCAGGGUCCAUACUCCUGCGAUAGGGAGCAGUAGGGAAUCGUCCGCAGUAGGCGGGAGCAUGACGGAGCAAGCCCGCGCGAGUGAUGGAGGCCUCCCGAUCGUAAUGCCCUGUUAUUGGUGAAGAACAAAUUUGUACUUUACUAUGGCCGUCUUGACGGUACUGAAUAAGAAAGCCCCGGCUAACUACGUG